This 759-nucleotide long non-coding RNA is filed under the name Homo sapiens (human). Its description in RNAcentral is "HSALNT0174878". The record is from RNAcentral. Lineage: Eukaryota; Metazoa; Chordata; Mammalia; Primates; Hominidae.
CCAAGGCAGGCGGCUGCUCCUUGCCCUCGGGCCCCGCGGGGCCCGUCCGCUCCUCCAGCCGCUGCCUCCCGGGCGGCGCUCGCCGGCGCGGCGGCAAAGACUCUAUUUUUGCUGGAUUUAAAACAUUGUUUUUAUGGACAGGAUCUCGCUGCGUUGCUCAGACUGGUCUCGAACUCCUGGGCUUAAGGGAUUCUCCUGCCUCAAUCACAGCCUCCCAAGUAGCUGAGAUUAAAAGUGCUCACCACCGUGCCAGCGAGUUCAGUUUUUGAGGGUGGAGCCAAGACUCUGAGGAGAGGGCUGAACUGUGAACCUAGAAGUACCAUCUCCCCCUGCACACACCUUUGGUCAAGUUGACCCCAAGAAGAAGGACAAGUCCUCUGCACGGCGAUGAGGCCAUACACACAGUCUGUGGCCCGGCUUUGGGAGACUGAUGGGACAAAGGAUGUUUUGCACGAUCCUUGGUCUCUGAGCAAAUAUAUACAUGGGUUAACACAAAGGCUCUCUUUUUGAAAAAUGUGACUGUGAAAGUGUGCCCUCCCAGAUAUUCCAGGCAUAACACAGGAGUGACUGCAUGUUUGGGGACAGUGCGGAGGCCACUCUGAUUAGAUCAGAGGAUGUGGACUGGUUCAUGAUGUAAAAGCUGAAGGGAGGCCGGGCACAGUGGCUCACGCCUGUAAUCCUAGCACUUUGGGAGGCCAAGGUGGGUGGAUCACGAGGUCAGGAGAUCGAGACCAUCCUGGCUAACAAGGUGAAACCCCG